RNAcentral lists this long non-coding RNA (494 nucleotides) under Olea europaea (common olive). RNAcentral's name for it is "long non-coding RNA (OEUR_LNC005227)". Lineage: Eukaryota; Viridiplantae; Streptophyta; Magnoliopsida; Lamiales; Oleaceae. The record is from RNAcentral.
UCUGCAUGUAUUGAAGGGUAUAUUUGGCAUUUCGAAAACCAAUAUCGGAUGAAUGAGAAAUUACGAAAAAGACCUCAACCAUUAGUGAAUAGACACCUUUUCAUAAAUAUGCAUUGUUUGGAAAUGGUGCAUGGUUUGGUCUCAACCAUUUCGUCCACACCCCUUCAUGGUCUAUAAAUAGGACCCUUUGGGUGUCCUAUUCCUCACAGUUUGAUAUGCAAAACGUUUCUCAUCCUCUCUUCUAUCCAAAAUCUUUGAUUUUCUUUCAUUUCAUCCUUGGAGUACAUAAGCCUAAAUUGGUUCGUUGUACUUGUGUUUUGGAGUGCUACAAACACAAGUGUAGCCGUUGUAUCUUGGGAGUCGAUUGCCGAAAUCCGUAGGCACCGUUGCGGGGCAAAUUCGACUUAAGGACAAAGAGUCCAACUCUUGCCUCGGCUUUGUCACCAUCAUUAUACUUAUUUCAGCGUCACUAUUCACAAAAUUCAUCCAACAAA